CAUGUGCAAUGACGAACAUUAUAAGAUGUUGAUUUUUAACACUUUUUCAUUAGGCUAACACAUCCAGACUCUCUAUUUGAUAAUCAUUUGCAGAUUAAAGAUCAUUUCAUAAAUAAAAUUUAAGUUCUCUAUUUAAAGAUGAAGAUGUAGAUGAACUUGAAAAAGCAUGUGUAAGUCUCUUAUAUGUAAUAAAUGAAAAAAUAGAUGAUGAAUGAAAAGUACUAGGAGAAGAGGUAGAGGUUCAUGAAUGAGAAG
Molecule: long non-coding RNA, 255 nt
Filed under: Elaeis guineensis (African oil palm)
Lineage: Eukaryota; Viridiplantae; Streptophyta; Magnoliopsida; Arecales; Arecaceae
Description: long non-coding RNA (EGUI_LNC024254)
Source: RNAcentral